GGGCGGGUGCGGUCCUGUGGGCGGUCGGGCUCGCCUUCGAGGCGAUCGGGGACCACCAGCUCGCCCGGUUCAAGGCCGACCCCGCCAAC
Molecule: transfer RNA, 89 nt
Filed under: Streptomyces cyaneofuscatus
Lineage: Bacteria; Bacillati; Actinomycetota; Actinomycetes; Kitasatosporales; Streptomycetaceae
Also listed under: 1 other name
Description: tRNA-Arg(tcg)
Source: RNAcentral